AACGAACGCUGGCGGCGUGGAUAAGACAUGCAAGUCGAACGGGAAUGAACGGGUAGCAAUAUUCGGACAUUCUAGUGGCGAAAGGGUGCGUAACACGUAGACCAUCUACCUCUAAGUGUGGGAUAGCUCGGCGAAAGCCGGAUUAAUACCGCAUGUGGCUUAGGAACGCAUGUUCCAAAAGUUAAAGCCGGGGACCGUAAGGCCUGGCGCUUGGAGAUGAGUCUGCGGCCUAUCAGCUUGUUGGCGGGGUAACGGCCCACCAAGGCUAAGACGGGUAGCUGGUCUGAGAGGACGACCAGCCACACGGGGGACUGAGACAC
Molecule: ribosomal RNA, 320 nt
Filed under: uncultured bacterium
Lineage: Bacteria
Description: bacterial SSU rRNA
Rfam family: Bacterial small subunit ribosomal RNA
Source: RNAcentral